GUCGUCGCCGCGGGAUGUCAUGUCGGCGGGUCAGCUUCAGCGCGUCAGCAGGGCCGCAUCGAGAUCUGGCCGCGGCGGACGCGGAGGCGCAGGAACGCCGGAUGCGAGCGAGGCAAAGCGGAGAAGUUGACGCGCGGGGACGGGUGACGGAGAGAAGAGAAGACGGGGCCCUCUUUAUACGAGGCACGCAGGAGGCGACGCGGGAGUGUGCGGCGAGCGGCCGAGACGGACGCGCGGCGCGAUCGAUUCGAUGGAGGCCUGCUAAUGGGCUGGGGUUGAUGGAAAUGGGUUAAAUGGAUUAGUUUUAAUUUAGAUUGGGUUU
Molecule: long non-coding RNA, 322 nt
Filed under: Oryza brachyantha (malo sina)
Lineage: Eukaryota; Viridiplantae; Streptophyta; Magnoliopsida; Poales; Poaceae
Description: long non-coding RNA (OBRA_LNC000612)
Source: RNAcentral